GACGAACGCUGGCGGCGUGCUUAACACAUGCAAGUCGAACGGAAAGGCCCUGCUUGCAGGGUACUCGAGUGGCGAACGGGUGAGUAACACGUGGGUGAUCUGCCCUGCACUUCGGGAUAAGCCUGGGAAACUGGGUCUAAUACCGGAUAGGAGCCAUUUUUAGUGUGAUGGUUGGAAAGUUUUUUCGGUGUAGGAUGAGCUCGCGGCUUAUCAGCUUGUUGGUGGGGUAAUGGCCUACCAAGGCGGCGACGGGUAGCCGGCCUGAGAGGGUGGACGGCCAAAUUGGGAUGGGGGAACGGCCCAGCCUCCAACGGGGGGCAGCGGUGGGGAAUUUUGCAAAAUGGGGGAAAGCCUGAUGCAGGGACGCCGCGUGGGGGAUGACGGCCUUCGGGUUGUAAACUCCUUUCGCUGGGGACGAAGCUUUUUGUGACGGUACCAAGAUAAGAAGCACCGGCUAACUACGU
This 464-nucleotide ribosomal RNA is filed under the name uncultured bacterium. Its description in RNAcentral is "partial 16S ribosomal RNA". It matches the Rfam family "Bacterial small subunit ribosomal RNA", at positions 28 to 506 of the family's 1533-position model. The record is from RNAcentral.